RNAcentral lists this ribosomal RNA (498 nucleotides) under uncultured bacterium. Its description in RNAcentral is "partial 16S ribosomal RNA". It matches the Rfam family "Bacterial small subunit ribosomal RNA", at positions 30 to 523 of the family's 1533-position model. The record is from RNAcentral.
AUUGAACGCUGGCGGCAUGCUUUACACAUGCAAGUCGAACGGUAACAAGUCUUCGGAUGCUGACGAGUGGCGAACGGGUGAGUAAUGCAUCGGAACGUGCCCAGUCGUGGGGGAUAACGCAGCGAAAGCUGCGCUAAUACCGCAUACGAUCUAUGGAUGAAAGCGGGGGACCGUAAGGCCUCGCGCGAUUGGAGCGGCCGAUGUCAGAUUAGGUAGUUGGUGGGGUAAAGGCCCACCAAGCCAACGAUCUGUAGCUGGUCUGAGAGGACGACCAGCCACACUGGGACUGAGACACGGCCCAGACUCCUACGGGAGGCAGCAGUGGGGAAUUUUGGACAAUGGGCGCAAGCCUGAUCCAGCAAUGCCGCGUGCAGGAAGAAGGCCUUCGGGUUGUAAACUGCUUUUGUACGGAACGAAACGGCUCUUCCUAAUACAGAGGGCUAAUGACGGUACCGUAAGAAUAAGCACCGGCUAACUACGUGCCAGCAGCCGCGGUAA